GCGAGGCUGCAUCAUGGUCAUGGACAAUCUCCCUUCUUACCCCCACCAAAAUUUCGUUUAUCUUUGAGCAGGCCAGAAAUAUGGUUUUUCUUUCUAUGUAAGACACCAGUUUUAAUGAUGAGAUCCGAGUUAUUUGGUCAAAUGGAAUUCUUUUUGGGCUGAAGGAUAUCCUGCUUAAAUUGCCUAUCCAAAUUGGCUUUCACAUGUACUGCAACAGCAUCAUAGGAAUUAGUCAACCAAGGUUGAUGGAGUCCAACACAUCCUUGAAAUUACUCAAACCAAGGUACGGUUAAUUUUCAUUGUUAUCUUGUUCAAAUGUUCAGUGCUUAUUUUAGUUUAUUGUAUUUUCAUUGGGAUUGUAUCAUGUUUCCAAAAUUUCCUGAAUCAAAUGCUUGUGAAUUUAAUCUGUACUUUCCUCCUGGCAUUUUCCAUGGAAAGAAGUUUUCCUUUCACCCGUCCAGUGGCAUGCUUUAGCUCUUUGUUUGUUGGCAUCUACCAGGGCACUGGCAUCCAUGGUGCAUACUUCUUUGUAGCAUGUAGUUUAGCUGAACAAUAAAUUGGUGAUAAGCAAGUAAAAGAUGUUCAAUUUGAAAAUUAACUUGAGAUCAUAUUUCCAUGCAUGUUCUCAGAAAGCACUUUAAAUUAACAUUCUUUAUCAGAUAUAUUCUACAUAUUGUUUAUAUAGGCUGGUGGUUAGUUGGCAAUUCUCGGGAAACUAUCAGGUGGCUACAGAUCACCUCAGGUUGACGCAGGUUAGUCACGUACACUUGCUGCUUGAAGUUUUAGCAGUCCGCAAUCUGGUGCUGAGAAAGUGGACAUCUAUAUCCUAACUGAAAGGCUUGGUUGGUCAUUGGUAAGGAAGGUGGGACCAUUAAGGCUCUAAAAGCUAAGCCCGGGGCUGGCAUACAGGUUAGUGCUACAACUAUAUGCCCGCAUGCUUCUUGUUCACAUCAAAAUGAAAUUUGUUGAUUACGCAACAUAUACCUUAAGGUGAUCUUUCCACAGAAAUAAAAGCUGGAACCAAAUAGAGGUUGCACGAACAAUGAUCGUGGAACUCACUAUAUUGGCUAGGUUAAGUUUUGGGGGAUUUUUUUGGUGAUAUUUCAUUGUUUGCUGCUCGUAAAGUUGCGCCUGUCUUGUUUUAGGAUUGUGCUUGCUGCCUGGAACCAUGUUUGCAGUUUCUUUGAUUCAAAUCUUUUACUUCAGGUGAAGCCAUGUGGUAUACAUCUGUGUGUCUCGCUUAUGGGAUUAGUUGGUUUUAUUUUCUAUAAUAUAAGGGGAUCCGAAAUAUAGUCAGCUCAGACUUCAAGUAAAAGAGUUAGCCAAGCUCCAAUUUCAGCUAUAUUUACCAAAGCAACAUAAAUCUGCCUUGUUGGUAUUCUUCGUUCUUUCAAAUCCAUGUGUUAUUUUUUUGCCAGAAGAAACAUUAGACAACUUAGAACUACACAAGAGGGAAAUAAACUUUUUUCCAUGCUUUACAAACAACACACAUGGCUCGUCUCUUUUGGCGAGCGAGUCAGGUCGUUUCUUUUGAUGUUAUGUCAUCUUAGCCGUUGCAGCUCAUUGUGGCACGUUUCUUUUACUUUAUGAAGCAGAUAUAGAGUUAAGACCUUUGAUUUUGUAGAUUCAGUUAACUCGACAAUACAUGCCUUCGAUACAUCAAUGAGGACUUGUCAUGCCACAAAUUCUUUGAAUUGUUCCUAAUAUUUAUGUGAGCGUAAUCUUUGGCAGGGGCUGGUAAGGUUAGAAUUAGGAACUUCUUUUGAGCUGCUUUGCCCUUCAAUAAUAUGCAUCUAUAUCUUCAUCUGUAAAGUCGUAUACAAUUUAGCAAGAGUCACAAUCUGUACUUAGAUGACCAAAUUUUCUACUUUUUCAGGUUUUUAAUUCCUAAAUAGAUUGAGAAACAGAAUCUCCGUUGCUUCUCACUUUGGUUUUAAUUUCAUAACUUUUAUUUGCGUCACUUGUGUGAUAACCGUGAUAACCUAGAAAGCUGUAUUUUCCCUUCAAAUAAUGUUAGAUGAUAUGUAGAUAGCUCCAGAGUAGUCUAAAUUGUUUCUACCCCUCAUUUAAUCAUUGUUUUCAAUCUUUGUGCCUGGAUAUCUCAAAAUGCAUCUCCUGCUACUGGUAGAGACAAAAUGGUUGCAGCAUUUACCUUGGUCUGAAUCGUAUCUCCAGACUUUUAAUGAGCAUAUUUUUCUGAAAGCCACAUCAAAAGUAUCUUCAUAUUACUCUCUUUUGUAACUUCAGGAAGGAAAUGAAAACCAGUUUGGUGGUUACUGGAUUGACUUAUCUAGAUUACAUAUGUAAAAUUAGGACUACAGAACAGAUAACAACUCUCACAGGGAGCUGUGCUUGGUUUGACAGUGGAUUUGUUUUUGUUUGGAUGGCCUGAACAGUGGAUAAAGUGGUGGUUUUUGUGGAAACAACUGAUGUGUUCUUGAAUAACAUUAUUAGCUCUACUGGGGUGCACAAAAUACCCAAUACAUGCCAUUUGGUAGGCUGUUGACUUGCUAUGGAGCUAAGAGAUUGGCUCCCUAUAAUUCCCCUAGGUUUUGAAGUUGCUUUUCACCGCAUCAUUUAUUUCCAUCUUAAGAAAGCAUAUUGAAAUAUUAUGAUACAAUUUUUUUUUCCAAAUACAUGUUUGUGCACUGGAAUUUGUCUCGUUCAUUUUUAUGGGCAUAUUGUUGAUAAAAUUCAUUAGAUUAGGCAAAGCGCCAUUAUUCCAGGGAAUCUGCUUGAUCCCAGUCUUGUCCUUCUGCAGACUUGUGAUAACAAUCAAUGAUUUCUUCUUUGCUUUUCCACAACAUGUGAUGUGGAUCUGGCAAGUGCUCUUAUGCUUCCUAUAGUUUUUUGGUGUACCUCUAUACGGUUUUAUUAUUAUUCAGGGUCUAAUGUGUUUCUCUGAAAUUCUCUGGAUUGACUGUAGUAUGGCUAUAUAGGCCCAAGGCAAUAUCACCACCCUAAUUUCUGCUCCAACUUAUGCUGAAGGCACCCAAACAUGAGCAACUAAAAUGGAUUUAGUGGUCUUAGUUUAUCUUUGCUGGGGCAGAUUGUUUUCUUCUAUCGUUUAAAUUCUAUGGUAUUAUGUGUUGGCUUGUACUUAAUAGUCUCCAGUUUGGGUCUUUCAAUGAAGAGUAGCGUAUCCACUUCAGUUUUGCUUCCUAUUUAGCUCUGCAUUUACCAUCAUAAAUAUGUGUUACAGUAGCCUCGUGCUUUUUUACAACAUACUUAUAUGUGAAAGUUUGGCUUCGAAGCUCAGGCAGUGUUCUUUUUUCUGCAGAGAAAAGUGCAUCACAUGUCCUGAUUUAUUUAAAGAACUAUUUGGUUACUUUGUCACAAGGAAUUAUUUGUUUAUUUUGAUUAUGUUCGUUUCAUGAAGAGCAAAAAGCUGCAGACCAGAAAGAAAGGAGUUAUGUCGUUUUGGAUCCAUAUGAGUGUUCCUCUGCAUUGUCACUUCUUUUGCUUCAUUAUGAAUUGAGCUGGUGACCGGCCGCACUGGCCAUACGUAAUCUACAGUUCAGAACACCUUCUUUAUUGUGUGCCAAGCUAGGGCAUAUUAGUCCCAAGCAAUUACAUCCUAUAGUAUCGUGCUAUUUACAAGGAUUAGGAAAGAGCUAUGAGUCAUUGUAUUCAAUUUGCCUGAAACAAGCCUCUUUUUUUUGUAAAACUAAAAUAUAGAUGCCUUUAAAUGGCUAUGUUUAUAGCCAACUACCUGGUUCUGUCUGGCA
Long non-coding RNA from Lolium rigidum, 3728 nucleotides. RefSeq lists it as uncharacterized. The transcript has 7 exons. The record is from RefSeq and is a predicted model, not a curated record. NCBI's taxonomy places the organism in Eukaryota, Viridiplantae, Streptophyta, Magnoliopsida, Poales, Poaceae.